UACGAAGGGGGCUAGCGUUGCUCGGAAUCACUGGGCGUAAAGCGCACGUAGGCGGAUUGUUAAGUCGGGGGUGAAAUCCUGGAGCUCAACUCCAGAACUGCCUUCGAUACUGGCGAUCUUGAGUCCGGGAGAGGUGAGUGGAACUGCGAGUGUAGAGGUGAAAUUCGUAGAUAUUCGCAAGAACACCAGUGGCGAAGGCGGCUCACUGGCCCGUAACUGACGCUGAGGCACGAAAGCGUGGGGAGCAAACAGG
Molecule: ribosomal RNA, 253 nt
Filed under: uncultured bacterium
Lineage: Bacteria
Description: partial 16S ribosomal RNA
Rfam family: Bacterial small subunit ribosomal RNA
Source: RNAcentral